CAUUUUGUUUUCGAUGUUCGGACUUUCGAAUCGACGAUCGGCUCUGUUAGACUUGAUCUAGAGUAUUUGAAGUAUCUAGAAAAUAAAUUUUGCGAUUUUUCGAUAUCAUUUGCCUAGUGAUCGAAGUGGCACAAAAUCAACGGUUGAAAAUAAAAAUCUUACAAAAUAUGAUGAUAUGACAUUAAAAUUUUAGAUCAAAGUUAUUGAUCUUGUUUUAUAUGGUAUAAAGAAUUUUGUAUCAAAAUUUCAUCUAAUUUGAAUACUUCUAUACCGUUAAACUUGAAAACGGCAGAUAUCAACCAUUAAAAAUUAUUGAUUUUGAACGCUCUCGAUCACUAGGUAAAUGAUAUCAAAAAAUCGCAAAAAUUAUUUUCUAGAAACUUCAAAUGCGUUAGAUCAAGUCUAACGGAGCCGAUCGUCGAUUCGAAAAUUCCAUCAUCGAAAAUGACUCAGGAGCACGAAGGCCUCUGUGCUCCUAAGAGAACAGCAGUCCUGCUCUAUAUAUAUAUAGAGAGAGAGAGAGCAGGGCUGCUGUGCUCUCAGGAGCACGAAGGCCUCCGUGCUCCUGAGCCAUUUUCGAUGAUGGAAUUUCUGAAUCGAUGAUCGGUUCCGUUAGACUUGAUCUAGCGUAUUUGAAGUUUCUAGAAAAUAAUUUUGCGAUUUUUUUAUAUCAUUUACCUAGCAAUCGAAAUAAUUCAAAAUCAAUAAUUUUUAACGGCUGAAAAUAAAAAUCCUAUAAAAAAGUGGUGAUAUAGCACUAAAAUUUUUGAUCAGAAAUAUUGAUCUUAUUGUAGAUAGUAUAAAGAAUUUUUUAUCAAAAUGUCAUUUGAUUUGAAUGCUUCUACACCGUUAAACUUGAAAACGGCAGAUAUCAACCAUUAAAAAUUAUUAAUUUUGAAUCCUUUCGAUCAUUAGGUAAAUGAUAUAGU
RNAcentral lists this long non-coding RNA (929 nucleotides) under Ananas comosus (pineapple). RNAcentral's name for it is "long non-coding RNA (ACOM_LNC022594)". The record is from RNAcentral. Lineage: Eukaryota; Viridiplantae; Streptophyta; Magnoliopsida; Poales; Bromeliaceae.